RNAcentral lists this ribosomal RNA (487 nucleotides) under uncultured bacterium. Its description in RNAcentral is "bacterial SSU rRNA". It matches the Rfam family "Bacterial small subunit ribosomal RNA", at positions 29 to 526 of the family's 1533-position model. The record is from RNAcentral.
AAUGAACGUUGGCGGCGUGGAUUAGGCAUGCAAGUCGAGCGCGAUUCCCAGCAAUGGGAGGAAAGCGGCGAAAGGGAGAGGAACACGUGGAUUAUCUGCCCUCCGGACCGGGAUAGCUACGGGAAACUGUAGGUAAUACCGGAUAACAUCUAAGGAUCAAAUGGUGUGAUUCCGCCGGAGGAUGAGUCCGCGUCCUAUUAGCUAGUUGGUGAGGUAACGGCUCACCAAGGCCAUGAUGGGUAGCGGGUGUGAGAGCAUGACCCGCCUCACUGGGACUGAGACACUGCCCAGACACCUACGGGUGGCUGCAGUCGAGGAUCUUCGGCAAUGGGCGCAAGCCUGACCGAGCGACGCCGCGUGCGGGAUGAAGGCCUUCGGGUUGUAAACCGCUGUCGGAGGGGAGGAAAUGGUAGGGGGUUCUCCCCCUAUCUUGACCUAUCCUCGGAGGAAGUACGGGCUAAGUUCGUGCCAGCAGCCGCGGUAAGAC